RNAcentral lists this long non-coding RNA (1041 nucleotides) under Canis lupus dingo (dingo). RNAcentral's name for it is "lncRNA (ENSCAFG00020008683.1)". The record is from RNAcentral. Lineage: Eukaryota; Metazoa; Chordata; Mammalia; Carnivora; Canidae.
AUGCUCCUUCCUCAGUUUCCCCUGCCUACUGCUUCCUUCCUCUCUAUGCUUCCUAGGUUUUCUUCUAGACCGCGGUUCUCGGCACAACAGGGUGGGAGGACGAGUCUGCGGGUGAGAAGGGACAGGCGGGCAGUGGCUAUUCAAGUCUCCUCAGGUGCCACCGCCUCCAGGCACAAGGCCAGCUCCUCAUCCCUGCGCCCCUCGGCUCCCUGCGUGUUCCUGGCAAGCAGUGGCAUCCCGAGGCCGCGCUAUAAGAGGAUGAUCCCUUUGAGGACAUGUGUGAAGUCAAAAACCCCCCACCUCUGCCCAGAGAGCAGUGUCAGGCCCUCGCUCACCUUGGCCAGGCCUUCUGGCUUCCCGCCCCCCCAGGCCCUGGGGCUCCACCAGCCUCCCCCCAGGACAGGGAAAGAAGCGGGAAGCCAGAAGGCCUGGCCAAGACCAAGUCCGGGCAGGCCUGGAGCCAGCGGCCCUCACGUCUGCAGCCUUCUGGAGGCUGGGCCUGGGCACCCGCUAGGCCUCCCUCCCCUCACGCUUCCUGGGUACCUCCUGGGCCCCCAACACCCGCAGGGACACAGACUGAGCCGUGGAAGCCGUGUGGGCUGCCGCUGUGGUGGGGGCGCUGCGAUUCCCGGGGUGGGGGCUGGCCGGGGCCUGCAGGCUGGAGCGGGGCUGUCCAGUCCCUCCGCUGGCUGGCCCUGCAGAAGCACGGGGGGCUGGCCUUGGAACCCAGGGAAGAAGCCAGGCCCCCUGCAGCCCUCCCAGCCGGGAGACCCUGAGCAUGUUGCCAUGCACCUGAGUCCCUACCCGAGGCGACAGCUUCCCUCCAGGGCUGUCGUGUCGUGGGGCUGGAGUCCCGCUCACAGGACCCAGUGGGCCUGUGAGUCUCCCGGCGCCCACCUGCUCCAGGUGCGGUGCGCUCCUCGCCUCUGCCCACCCACCGCCCAGACAGGCGGCCCCCCUCGAGCUGCCUCCCACCUCUACCGUUUCCUAGACAGGUUCAAUCUAAGGGUCGGCGCGGCCGGGGUGGGGGGUGGCUCAUGA